UCCAGACUCCUACGGGAGGCAGCAGUGGGGCCUCUUUCACAAUGGUUGCCCCCCUGAUUCAGCCCCGCCGCGUUUGUGCAGGAGUGCUUCUGCAUGUAAAUCCCUCUCGGCAGGGACGCAGCAAGACGGUCCCUGACUAAGAAGCCCCGGCGAACUACGUGCCAGCAGCCGCGGGAAUACGUAGGGGGCGAGCGUUAUCCGGAUUCACUGGGUGUAAAGGGAGCGGAGACGGCCAUGCAAGCCAGGGGUGAAAGCCCGGGGCCCAACCCCGGGACUGCCCUUGGAACUGCAUGGCUGGAGUGCGGGAGGGGCAGGCGGAAUUCCUGGUGUAGCGGUGAAAUGCGUAGAUAUCAGGAGGAACACCGGCGGCGAAGGCGGCCUGCUGGACCGCGACUGACGUUGAGGCUCGAAAGCGUGGGGAGCAAACAGGAUUAGAUACCCCGGUA
RNAcentral lists this ribosomal RNA (446 nucleotides) under uncultured bacterium. RNAcentral's name for it is "bacterial SSU rRNA". It matches the Rfam family "Bacterial small subunit ribosomal RNA", at positions 330 to 792 of the family's 1533-position model. The record is from RNAcentral.